This 402-nucleotide ribosomal RNA is filed under the name uncultured bacterium. RNAcentral describes it as "bacterial SSU rRNA". It matches the Rfam family "Bacterial small subunit ribosomal RNA", at positions 355 to 774 of the family's 1533-position model. The record is from RNAcentral.
UAGGGAAUUUUGCGCAAUGGGGGAAACCCUGACGCAGCAACACCGCGUGAAUGUUAAGCCCUUCGGGGUGUAAAGUUCUGUCAGUAGGGACGAAAUUUGACUGUACCUACAAAGGAAGCACCGGCUAACUCCGUGCCAGCAGCCGCGGUAAUACGGGGGGUGCAAGCGUUGUCCGGAAUCAUUGGGCGUAAAGCGUUCGUAGGCGGUAUAUCAAGUCUGGUGUUAAAGCCCGGGGCUCAACUCCGGUUCGGCACUGGAUACUGGUAAACUAGAAUGCAGUAGAGGUAAGGGGAAUUCCUGGUGUAGCGGUGAAAUGCGUAGAUAUCACGCAGAACUCCGAUUGCGAAGGCAGCUUACUGGGAUACAACUGACGCUGAAGCACGAAAGCGUGGGUAUCGAACA